Molecule: ribosomal RNA, 253 nt
Filed under: uncultured bacterium
Lineage: Bacteria
Description: partial 16S ribosomal RNA
Rfam family: Bacterial small subunit ribosomal RNA
Source: RNAcentral
UACGGAGGGUGCAAGCGUUAUCCGGAUUCACUGGGUUUAAAGGGUGCGUAGGUGGAUUAGUAAGUCAGUGGUGAAAUCUCCGAGCUUAACUCGGAAACUGCCAUUGAUACUAUUAGUCUUGAAUUAUCUGGAGGUGAGCGGAAUAUGUCAUGUAGCGGUGAAAUGCUUAGAUAUGACAUAGAACACCAAUUGCGAAGGCAGCAGGCUACACAAAUAUUGACGCUGAGGCACGAAAGCGUGGGGAUCAAACAGG